This 314-nucleotide unclassified non-coding RNA is filed under the name plant metagenome. RNAcentral describes it as "partial contains 5.8S ribosomal RNA, internal transcribed spacer 2, and large subunit ribosomal RNA". The stretch from base 1 to 105 matches the Rfam family "5.8S ribosomal RNA", at positions 50 to 154 of the family's 154-position model. The record is from RNAcentral.
GAAAUGCGAUAAGUAAUGUGAAUUGCAGAAUUCCGUGAAUCAUCGAAUCUUUGAACGCACAUUGCGCCCCCUGGUAUUCCGGGGGGCAUGCCUGUCCGAGCGUCAUUGCUGCCCUCAAGCACGGCUUGUGUGUUGGGCUUCCGUCCCUGGCAACGGGGACGGGCCCAAAAGGCAGUGGCGGCACCAUGUCUGGUCCUCGAGCGUAUGGGGCUUUGUCACCCGCUCCCGUAGGUCCAGCUGGCAGCUAGCCUCGCAACCAAUCUUUUUAACCAGGUUGACCUCGGAUCAGGUAGGGAUACCCGCUGAACUUAAGC